GCGGUCGUCGUUCGUUUCGGCUUGCGUUGGUUUCAAAGCACCAUUUAAACACUAUUGAAGCAUUAAAGCACCAAUGUUGUUGUUGAGGUUUCGAUUUUGCUUUGUUCUUCUUGUUCGGUUAUUUGGAUUUUUUCAAUUUUUUCAUUUUUUUUAUCAUUUUGGGGUUGUUGUUAAGUCUGUUUUUUUGGCUCUUUUUCUAAUUUUUGGACUCCUUAUUUUGUGUAUUGUAGGUACUCUUGCAAUGGAGAAAAGAAGUUAACAGAGUGAACUUUAUCAUGACAGGAAGAAGGUAUGUGGGGUUAUACUAUAUUUGCAAAUAGUUUGGGUUAUUUUUGAUUUUAAAUAGAAACAAUACUUUUUUAUGCAAUUAACUUUUAGACACU
This 383-nucleotide long non-coding RNA is filed under the name Vigna radiata. RNAcentral describes it as "long non-coding RNA (VRAD_LNC005166)". The record is from RNAcentral. Lineage: Eukaryota; Viridiplantae; Streptophyta; Magnoliopsida; Fabales; Fabaceae.